UACGGAGGGUGCAAGCGUUAUCCGGAUUUACUGGGUUUAAAGGGUGCGUAGGUGGGUAGGUAAGUCAGUGGUGAAAUCUUCGAGCUUAACUCGGAAACUGCCAUUGAUACUAUUUAUCUUGAAUACUCUGGAGGUAAGCGGAAUAUGUCAUGUAGCGGUGAAAUGCUUAGAUAUGACAUAGAACACCAAUUGCGAAGGCAGCUUACUACAUAGUUAUUGACACUGAGACACGAAAGCGUGGGGAUCAAACAGG
This 253-nucleotide ribosomal RNA is filed under the name uncultured bacterium. Its description in RNAcentral is "partial 16S ribosomal RNA". It matches the Rfam family "Bacterial small subunit ribosomal RNA", at positions 524 to 776 of the family's 1533-position model. The record is from RNAcentral.